GCUGUAGCUCUUCCGAGCCGCAGCGCUGCCGAGUCAGCGCGCCCAGCCGAGCGCUCCGCUCGCCCUCCGCUCCCCGCGCUCCUGCACUCACCCGCUUACUCUUCCCUUUCUCUUUUCCUCCCUUUUUUUCUUUUUUUUUUUUUUUUUCUUUUUUAUCCCUGUGCCCCUGUGCCAGUUGAUUUAAAUGUAUCUGUUCAAGUGGAGAUAAUCCAUGCAAAUCAGAGGCACUGGCUCCCAGUGCUCGAUUCACAAAGAGAACUCAGCUUCAGGAGGUCACUCGUUCACAGCUGCUCCUCCCAUUAUAUUUUUCCCUUAUUGCAGAACUACUGCAUGUAUACAGUGACUGAAAGGACUCAAUUCACUGCAACUGCUGCCUGGCUUUACUUACAACUUUCUUUAAAGGGGGACUUACCUUCUAUCACUCUUGCUAAGUCUGCUUUUUGAACCAAAAAUGCAUUCUGAUUUUGGAGUACAGUACAAACCUAGAGAGCCUUGUCAUUGUUAGCAUAAAGAAGACAUCUACACAACUGUUACUGUGCAGGGGGAAAUCUUUCUUUCUCUGGCAUUUGUAAGGUUACUGUACAUAGAAUUUAGCAGAUAAAUAUCUUUUGCUUCAUGGCAUUUUGGAGAUCCUAUUGGUAUGCAGGUUACCCUGUGAAGAUGGCAACUGAAAAAAAAGAAAUAUGUUUUAUAGCAGUGUGUAAUAAAAACCCUUCAGAAUGAUGUAAGUGGAGUCUG
RNAcentral lists this long non-coding RNA (738 nucleotides) under Parus major (Great Tit). Its description in RNAcentral is "lncRNA (ENSPMJG00000019458.1)". Lineage: Eukaryota; Metazoa; Chordata; Aves; Passeriformes; Paridae. The record is from RNAcentral.